Podarcis muralis (Common wall lizard) is the source of this 843-nucleotide non-coding RNA. The record is from RefSeq and is a predicted model, not a curated record. Lineage: Eukaryota; Metazoa; Chordata; Lepidosauria; Squamata; Lacertidae.
GGGAAAAGUUGAUCCUCAGCCCGGGGAGUUCUGGAAUCCCGUGCACAAAACGUGAAAAGAAAGGAAGUCGGCAUCUCACCAAAAGUUUCCAUCCAUGAAGUGCCUUUAAUUAUCCUUCUGUGGGAGUUGAUCUGGCAGAAGGAAGAAAACAAGUUCAGAAAUCUUCUAAGGCCGACCUGGGUAUUCUUUUAAAUGGCUUGGGUUCUUCCUGGAGUGGAAUAGUUGAAAUGCUCAUCUCAGAAGAGAUUUCUCAUGAUGGCAUUCUUUGUCAAACCGUGAGACAGCUUGAUAAAGAGUCUUCACCAACAUGGCCUCUGCAUAUUUCAUAUCCUCCAAGUGUCCUGAUUUUCUGGUGCUGGAAUCACAAAAGCAAUCCUGGCUUCUGAUUUGAUCCCAGAAGGUCCCGAUUUCCCCUGCUAGUGCUGCUGCUGCUGAGCUUGGGGGGAAAGGAUGAGCCAUCCCAAACUGCGACUGUGAGGGAGCACCCCUUUGCCUCUCCUGGUGCUGCCGCCUCCUCCCCAUGGCAGCUCCUAGUGGCUGCCAGAGAGUGGACGAGGAGGAGGAGGAGAGGUGGCCACUGCCCCUGAGACCCAGCCCCACAUGACACACUGGCUCUGAGAAGGCAGAAGGCAGGGCCACCCUGGGCAGGAAGAAAGGGGGAGAAGAGCACAAGGCUUGAUGAUGAUGAUGAUGAUGAUGAUGAUGAUGAUGAUGAUGAUUAUUAUGCUUUUUGCACCUGCGUCUCCAAUCUUGGCCCUUUCCAAAAUUUAUUUAUGGUGUGUGUUUUUCUUUUUGUAAAUCUACCAAAGAAUAAAAUAAAAUUGGGAUUAAGUGGUUUUCUCA